AUAGGUAAAUAAAUAUGGCGGACAGACAUUUUUGGGUGUGUAAAAUGUAUUUACUGUGUUUCAGUCGUGAAUAACAUAAAUAAUGGACUUUAUGUGGUAAUUAACACAAUACAACAGUAAUCUAUACAAAUAUAAAUGAGUGUUAACUAGUUGGUGUCACGUGAGCUUUUAAAUCAAUGAAUGUGCCUGUUGUGACUGACGAGAGAUAGGAAUAAAACUCCGAUGCGUCGUUUCUCUCCAUCAGUUUGUUAAAAAGUAAGACGCGACUUAAAGCGAUGUUGUAAUGUUUAUUGUGGUUGUACGCUGAGAAUUAAUGGUUGUGUGUGUAGUUGUGCUGCCAGGUGUAGCCGUAGUAAUUACAUUUGCAAGGGUCUUAUUAGAUUCUGAUGCGCCGCGACCGGCGAAGGCGCUAGGCAGUGCGUCUGUCUCUGUCAUAGCGACCGGGCACACCUCCGUUGACCUAUUUUCUGGUUAAUGCAUUGAAGCUAACUAUUUAUGUCUAAGGGUGUAAAGUAGGGCGCCGCCGGUUCUGGUUGCAAUUAUUGAAAUUUGGUGAAAAUUAAAUUUGAAUUGUGCUGUGAGUGAUAAGUUGGAAAUAAACUUGUUUGUUUAGUGCCAGUGGCUGAGUGAGGUGGGGAAGUGGUUGUGUGUGGAUUUUAUUCAUGUCUGAUAAAUGCAAUAAAUCGUUAACAAUUAGAAGAGAAAAUAGCAAUAAAUGCCUAACGUAGCUAGAACAAUGCAAUCAAGAAGUGCCGUCAAGAGUUUACAAAUAAAACAGUGCGAGAAAACAUCAGUAUGAUGGAAUCAGACCUUCCGCCUGGUAGCUGUAACUCCACCGGACAUCUGUCCACUAUUGGCUAUCACACCCUGCCUGGUCGGAUGCAUCAUUCCGCCAGCACGCCGGCCGGCGUGGAUGGCGCCGGCGGCGGGUCACGCACGCCGCCGGCGACGCCGAAAAAGGGCGGCAAGAUGCUCGCCGUCAGGGUGCAAAUGCUGGAUGACUCCAUUUCCAUGUUCCAGAUACAGUCGAAAGCGCUGGGGCGAGUGCUGUUCGAGCAGGUCUGUCGACAGUUGCACCUGCUCGAGGCGGACUACUUCGGCCUGGAGUACCAGGACACCAACAACACCAGGUACUGGCUGGACGUGGAGAAGCCGAUGUGCCGGCAGCUAGGCCUGACGAUGCUGGAGCCGACGCUCCGCUUCUGCGUCAAGUUCUACACGCCCGACCCUGCGCGCCUGGAGGAGGAGUUCACGCGCUACCUGUUCUGCCUGCAGGUGAAGCGUGAUCUCGCGCAAGGCUGCAUCCAGUGCAACGAGAAUACCGCCGCGCUCAUGGCCAGCUAUAUCGUGCAGGCGGAGUGCGGCGACUUCGUCCCGGAGGACUACCCGGACCACACGUACCUGAGCGGGUACAAGUUCUUCCCCGGGCAGGACUCGGAGUCCGAGCGCCGGAUAAUGGAGAACCACAAGAAACACACGGGUCAAAGUCCAGCGGAAGCGGACUUGAAUUUGUUGGAGACAGCACGAAGAUGCGAGUUAUAUGGCGUCAAAAUGCACCCGGCCAAAGACCACGACAACGUGCCCUUGAACCUGGCUGUCGCGCAUAUGGGCAUCGUGGUGUUCCAGAACUUCACGAAAAUCAACACCUUCAGCUGGGCCAAGAUCAGGAAGAUAUCCUUCAAGAGGAAAAAGUUCCUCAUCAAGUUGCAUCCGGAGGGAUAUGGAGCGUACAGAGACGUGGUGGAAUUCUUCUUCGAAGGUCGCAACGAAUGCAAGAACUUCUGGAAGAAAUGCGUCGAGAACCACGGUUUCUUCCGGUGUACCAGCGUGCCCCGCCUGCCGAGGCAUAAAACCAGGGUCAUAUCUAGGGGAUCCUCAUUUAGGUAUAGCGGCAAAACGCAGAAACAAAUCGUAGAGUUCGUGCGAGACAACUACGUGAAACGGCAAACAUUCCAAAGGGCGGGGUCGUUCCGCGCGUCGCGCUCGGCGGGCGGCUCGCGCGCGUCCGUGGCGCCGCCGCCGCUGAACACCAGCGUGUCGGCGCACCCGCUGCUGCCGCUGCCGCCGGGCUCCGACGCGAUUUCCCUGGAGUGGGACAAGCAGCCUCACUACCUGGAGGCCUCUCUGAUGAUGAAGGGAUACAGCGCGGAGGAAGCGCGCGCGGCGGCGGAGAGGGCGGCCCAGCGACGCACCUCGGAGGGCGCGACUCGCCCGCCUCUCGCAGCUACCGCCUAUGCCACCACGAGGGACAAGCUGUCAAAGCUGUACUGCAGCCAAAUCGGUGCUCCCGAGCUGGUGACCCGUGUCGAGGUCAACCAUCGUCCUACGGCGGAUUCGCCUCCGCCUCAUCAGAUGACGACACCAUCGGGUUCUCCGGAGAAUACAUGGAACCUGCGGAGUUCGGUCGCGAGUGGCCGCGCGCGCGCGCCCACUCCGCCGCCGCGUGCCCCGCGCCCCCGCCCGCCGCCAGACGAGAUAUCUCCGGACGAAACAGAAGAGAACACGAUAUCAUCAGCGAGUCUGUGUAUGUCGCCGACGCCGGCUGAGAGAACCGAGGCGCCGCUGUGUGCGUCAACGCCACUUGCGGUCAAGUCGGGCACAACGGGUGCCUUGACCAACGGCCAUGAUGCAGUGGACAAGGCCAGCUCGGACGUCAUCAACGGGAAUGUCAAUGUAAACAUAGUCUCAGAAUCAACAUACAGCAUGGACGUUUUGAGCGGAGGUGAAAGCGACGCCGGUGACACGUUGCAAAGGCGGAAUAACAACAACAAUAGCAUAUCAUCAAACCUGACGGCGGCGGUGCGUGACGGCACGAUAGACGCGGCGAAGCGUCGCGGCGCCGAUUUGACAUACUUCAUAGCUAAAGAGCUGCUCAUGACCGAGCGCACUUACAAGCGGGACCUGGAGCUCGUCACUGUGUCGUGGUCGCGUCGCGUAUCAUCUUUAGCGGCCCGCGGGAGCGCGAGCGCGGAAGCGGCGGGUGCCCUAGCACGCGCGUGCUUAGCGCUCGAGCCUCUAGCACUGGCUUGCGGUGCGCUGCUGGCGCGGCUGGACCGCACGCUCGCCGCCGCGCACGCGCCGCCGCACGACGAGCUGGAUAACGAGGAACCGGAAUACAGAAAAAUUGAUGAGUUACUACUAGAAUACCUUUCGAAUACGUAUGAUGCCUACACGCAGUACACGGAACGAGUGGGCACGCUAGUGGGUCUCGUGGAGAGCGUGCGGCGAGUGGACGCCGCCGCCCGGCAGGAGUGCGCGGCGUUCGAGGCGCAGUCGCCGCUGCCGCUCGCCUGCCUGCUGCUGCGGCCGCCGCACCGCGCGCUGCGUCUGUACACCGUCGCCGCCGAACUGUACGCAGCCGUGGGUACGGCGGCGGCGGCGCAGGCGUUGGAUUUAGCAAAACGCGCGGGAGCGGCGGCGCGCUCGCAGUUACGUCACGCAGAGAACCACGCCGCACUCUGCCAGCUGCAGCGCGACAUAGUGGGUUACGAUAAACUGCUAGUAGCUGAUAGAGAAUUCGUCAGAUUAGGCUGCGUGUACAAACAUUCCACACGGGGACUGCAGCAAAGAAUGUUAUUUUUGUUCAGUGAUAUCUUAGUAGUGGCGUCUCGAGCGGGCGGCGGCCAUUUUCGAGCGCACUCCGCCAUCCCUCUGCACAUGCUAGUGCUCAAACAUGCCGACUUGCCGCAUUCCUUCGUGCUUGAAGGGGAAGAUGUUCAACUAUUGAUUAGUACGAGUAAUGACCAAGAGUACGCUGGGUGGACGCGGGCGUUCGAUGAAACUAUAGCAAAUGCGCAUGAAAACCCUACGGAAAUAGACACGGAGUUAACGCCUUAUGAGCACGAUAUGGCGGAGGAAUCGUUGAGCGCAGGCGGCGCGGGCGGCGGCCUGGCGCACGUGUGCUGGCAUCGCGCCACGUCUCUCGCGCGGGAUCAGCUGCACCUGGCUAUGCGGACGCAGCUGUCGGGCUACCUGCUGCGCAAGUUCAAGAAGUCGCCGGGCUGGCAGAAGUUGUGGGUGGUGUUCGCGCAGUUCACGCUGUUCUUCUACAAGGCCUGGCUCGACGACGCGCCGCUCGCCUCGCUGCCGCUGCUCGGAUACGGCGUGAGCGCACCGAGCGCGGGCGACGGCAUCGACAAAGACUUCGUGUUCAAGCUGCAGUUCAAGAACCACGUGUAUUUCUUCCGGGCAGACAGCAUGUUCACGUACAACAGAUGGGUUGAAGUCUUGCAAACAUCGAUGGUGCAAUCGGAUCACAAUUAGUUUUAAUAUCGUAAAAUAGUAUUAUUCAAUGUAAAUGUUUUGUCACAUUCUAAUUAUUUUAAAUGUUCGCCAAUAAAUUAUUAAUAUACAAAGACAAUACAAAAUAUUGGUGCCAUAGCGAUAUAUUAUUCAAAUGUCUAUCAAAAUAUUUUAUUAGAUCAAUAUUAUGCAUAUAAAUCUUGCCCCCUUUUAUAGAUUUUACGAAAUUCUUGAAUAAAAUCUUGAUGUAUUGAAUUAAUAUAUUCACAUGAAAGUGCCUUUAUAGCAUUAUUUAGUCCAGAUAUUACUUUGUUGUAUUUAUAUUUAUUUAAGUUCGUAUAUUAGCACUAGUUUGAUUCCAGCUAGUACCUUAUUUAGAUGAAUUUACUGAAACGUGAUGUCACACAUUAGGUCUAAGUGUAUGUGUUCCAUUUAAAGGAAUUUGUCUUCGUGUAGCAGCUGUGGGAGUUUAUAUUUUUUCAUUCGGGUUUUAUCUUGUUGACUAUAUUGCAAUAAAAAAAAAAUUUAAGUUGGUACAUAAAUCGCCCACCAAAUGAACUUGGCAGUGCUACAAAUGAGUAUUUUAGGGGUAGUAAAGGUAUACAGUACAAUUUCGUGUUAAGAAAAGUGUGUAAUGAACACAGACGAAAAGGUAUAAAAAUAAAUUGAGUUGAUACAUUUUAAUAUUCCGGAACUGUUGAGAUAAAAGAAAAAAGAGUAUUGGAAAAAAUCCAUUACAUCGAUAUACAUCGUGCGUUUGAAGUAUUUUUGAGUUCAUUUUAUGAUAUUAGCAGCAUAAUUUGUGAUAUUUAACGGCAAUAAGGUCACAUGACACGUGCCAAUGUUUUUGAUAUUUUUGAUGACGGAAGAAUGAGUGUGGGUAUAUUUUACCCGACACCUACUUUAUGUUUAUUUAAAAGACUAUGAUGAAUUGAUAGAAUAAGCAAUAAUAAAUGUAUUUAAAUACUGGAGCUAAUUUGGGGAUUUUAAUCGUAGCAUUUGUUUCUAAAACGUUUUUGGAAUUGUGUAGCGCUUGGGAAAUAGCAAUCUCUAUAAAUUAAUACAUAAAUAUGUGAUGCUUAACAGUAAUACACGUACCUUAGUAGAUGAGUGGUAAUAUUUUUAUAAAUUAUAUUCUCCGUCUCGGUGCGGUUAGAUUCGCGGGCCAAAUCUUUGCAACUGUAAUAAUAUUAUUAUCAUGUGAUAUAUGUUUCCAGCUAGAUCCACAUUAGACUAGUGUAUGUUGUUCAUCUCAACAAGUGAUAGCGAUUUAUUAAUUUUAUCAAUCAAGGAUGUGACGUAUUUCCAAAGCUAUAUUAAUUAGUUUUAUAUUACGAAUUAUUUAUAAUUAUACCCGUAAGUUUCAUAUUUGUAUUCCAACAGUGUUUAUAAAACGAUUGGAUGAAUGAAACGAAUAAAAUGCUGCGUUCGAA
Molecule: RNA transcript, 5675 nt
Organism: Ostrinia furnacalis (Asian corn borer)
Lineage: Eukaryota; Metazoa; Arthropoda; Insecta; Lepidoptera; Crambidae
Gene: Cdep
Gene name: Chondrocyte-derived ezrin-like domain containing protein
Exons: 31
Source: RefSeq, a predicted model, not a curated record